RNAcentral lists this transfer RNA (73 nucleotides) under Thermoprotei archaeon. RNAcentral describes it as "tRNA-His". It matches the Rfam family "tRNA". From Rfam's summary of the family: Transfer RNA (tRNA) molecules are approximately 80 nucleotides in length. Their secondary structure includes four short double-helical elements and three loops (D, anti-codon, and T loops). Lineage: Archaea; Thermoproteati; Thermoproteota; Thermoprotei. RNAcentral also lists the same sequence under 1 other name. The record is from RNAcentral.
GCCGCCGUAGUGUAGGGGUUAACACGCCGGCCUGUGGAGCCGGAGAACCCGGGUUCAAAUCCCGGCGGCGGCC